Molecule: ribosomal RNA, 378 nt
Filed under: uncultured cyanobacterium
Lineage: Bacteria; Bacillati; Cyanobacteriota
Description: bacterial SSU rRNA
Rfam family: Bacterial small subunit ribosomal RNA
Source: RNAcentral
GAAAAGCCUGACGGAGCAAUCCCGCGUGGAGGAUGACACCUUUCGGGGCGUAAACUCCUUUUCUGAGGGAAGAAGUUCUGACGGUACCUCAGGAAUAAGCGACGGCUAACUACGUGCCAGCAGCCGCGGUAAUACGUAGGUCGCAAGCGUUAUCCGGAAUCAUUGGGCGUAAAGCGUUCGAAGGCGGACAGGAGGGUCUGAUAUUAAAUACAGCGGCUCGACCGAGGUGUGUAUCGGAAACCGCUUGUCUAGAGGGAGACAGAGGCAACUAGAAUUCCCAUUGUAGGGGUAAAAUCCGUAGAUAAUGGGAGGAAUACCGAAAGCGAAGGCAGGUUGCUGGGUCUCUCCUGACGCUGUCGAACGAAAGCGUGGGGAGCG